CUCUGCCCGACAGUCUGUCUGUCAGCGUCAGGGACACAAGGACUCCUUCCCUUUCCAGCCUGGAAAGCCCCCUGCAAGGCAGCAAGGAGGAAGGGUGUGACCUGCAGCUCUUGCAGCCCACCCGGGACCCUGGGCCCAGCCCACAGCCUCUAGGUUCUAGGGGCACAUGUCACUGGGCAGCCCCCAGUCCCUCGGGGGAAAAUGCAGGCUGAGGUCUGCCCUCAGGAGCACGUGCUGGGGUCUCCUACCACCCCAGGAUGGAUCCCUCUCUGGGGAUCUGGAUUCUGGGGACAAGGCAGUUCCUAGAGGUAGCAGGGACGAGAUGGGGUGGGGUGGCCCCAUAGAAACCUCAGCCUUGGGGAAAGAGCUGAGCGCAGCACAUCUGUGACACCAGAGGGUCUGGGAGACCACGGCCAGCUGCAUAGGGGAAGUGGGUGAUGCCACAGGGAGGGGCCACAGACUGGGGCAGUGCACUUGCUCUAUGAGGGUGCCCUGGGUCUGUACGGUGGGUGGCAUAGGGGGUGCCCAUCUGGGUAGGGGCUCAGGGUGCUCACGCGGGCAGCCUUCCCUUCCCUGGACCAAGCAGGCCUCCUCCUCCUCUUCUGGUGCCCAGCUGGUCAGGUCUGGGCCUCUCCAGAGACCAUCAGGGGCAGCUGGGGCCCUGGCUUCCUGUAGCUAACCCCACUCCCAGCAGAGGAGCAGAGAGGGAGGUGCGGGUGGGGACAGUGGUUGAUGCCAAAGGCCACGGGGGCAGGGGCGGGGCAGGAGUGGGAAGGCCCCAACUGCCCUCACCUUGGGCAGAUGAAAGCACAGUGCUUCCAGGCAGGGGCUGAGCAAGGGGCACAGCUGUGAUUUCAGGGUGCCUCUGUCAGAGUGGCUGCUGUGAUUUGAGAACCUCGGGUUUCUCCAGUGACUGAUUCUGGGAGGUUGUGAAUGAGUAAUGCCAGGCGUGGCACCACCUGGAGACUAUGGGCCUGGGGGGGCCUUGCUGGGGGGGCCCUGCUCUCAGUCCUCUGGCUCCUGUGGCUGCUGGGGUCAGCCCCAGGUGGUGUGCCAGAGCCCCAGCCCAUGGUCACCAUCCUCAUCUGGCAUUGGCCCUUCACCGACCAGCCCCCAGAGUUGCUGGGUGACACCUGCACCCGCUAUGGCAUGUCCCGCUGCCGCCUGAGCACUGACCGAAGUCUGCUGGCCAGUGCUGAUGCCGUGGUCUUCCACCACCGGGAGCUGGAGACCAGGAGGGCCCGCCUACCCCUGGCACAGAGGCCACGUGGGCAGCCCUGGAUCUGGGCCUCCAUGGAGUCACCCAGCAACACCCACGGCCUCGCCCGCCUGCGUGGCAUCUUCAACUGGGUGCUGAGCUACCGGCGUGACUCGGACAUUUUUGUGCCCUAUGGGCGCCUGGAGCCCCGCUCUGGGCCUGCGCCCCCAGUGCCAGUCAAGAGCAGGAUGGCCGUCUGGGUGGUUAGCAACUUCCAGAGGCGGCAACAGCGUGCGAGGGUGUACCGCCAGCUGGCACCUCACCUUCAGGUGGAUGUGUUUGGCCGUGCCAGUGGGCGUCCACUGUGUGCUGACUGUUUGCUGCCCACCGUGGCUCCCUACCGCUUUUACCUGUCCUUGGAGAACUCACAGCACCGGGACUACAUCACUGAGAAGUUCUGGCGCAAUGCGCUGGCAGCUGGGGCCGUGCCUGUCGUGCUGGGACCCCCGAGGGCGACCUAUGAAGCCUUCGUGCCUCCUCAUGCCUUUGUGCACGUGGACGACUUCGGGUCUGCCCAGGAGCUGGCCGCUUUCCUCAAUGGCAUGAACGAGAGCCGCUAUCGUGGCUUCUUUGCCUGGCGUGACAGUCUGCGCGUGCGGCUGCUGGAGGACUGGCAGGAGCGCUUCUGUGCCAUCUGUGCCCGCUACCCCUACCUGCCACGUGGCCAGGUCUAUGAGGACCUGGAAGGCUGGUUCCAGGCCUGAGCUCCCACAGGUGACAAGAGGUUUGUGGGCAGAAGGCUGAUGUUGAAACCAAACCAUGGGCAUCCGGUCCCCAGGCUGGUAAGAAACCAUCAAAGCAUCCGGUAAGACGGCCCUCAGCUCCCUGGGUCCAGCUUUCCCUCUUCUGCCCUCUGCUGGCCAUGUGGAGAAAUGAACCCUGCAACCCGCUUAGGGCUGGGAAGGUUCAGUCCUGUUCUGUCCUGGUUGUGGCCUGUCUUCAGCAAGUGAUGGGUCACCUUUGUGGAAGUUGGAGUUGGACACCUAUGACCCUCAGACCUGGUGAUACAAGCCAGCAUAGGAAGGCAGACUGUUUUCCAAGCACCACGCCUGUCCCCACCAGCAAAGAGCUGUUUCUGGGGCCAGGGUCCCUCGAGUCUUCUCACUGCUCAGAGGACUGCAGCUGAGCAGAGCACCCAGGUGUCCUGCCAGCCCCAUGGCUGUCUGUAGUGGGCUACAGCUCUAUACUGCUAUUGAUCGGCACUAUAGUUUGAAUAUUAGUUUAACUUUUUCAUACAGAGCAGAACUGUCACCCCAACAGUUUCUCUGCCUGGUGUUCACAUCCCUACAGAAUGGCUGGAUGCAGCCUGCUUGACUCACCCCACCAAACUCACACAUGCAGAUGUGCCACAGCUUCUACUAUUGGUCACAGUGUGACCCCAUGGAGCUCCUGCUGGGCAGCUGGGCACCGACUGUGGUACAUGCCUGCAGUCCAGCUACUUGGAGUGUUGAGGCAGGAGGAUCACUUAAAUCCAGGAGUUAGAGACUAACUGGGCAGUGUAUCAAGACCCCCAACUCAAAAUAAGAAAAAAAAAAUCUUGUGGGAAACUCGUUUGUGGGACCCAACAAAGAAGAUGGACCAGGUCCUGCCCCACCUGCCCUCUCUGACCUGUGAGUAUCUGUAAGGGCAGUCUUCAUCUUUACCUCUUUCCUAAUCGGUGAAGGAAGGGUGCUUUCCAUCUUAAAAGCCUAAUCAAUA
Molecule: RNA transcript, 2956 nt
Organism: Marmota monax (woodchuck)
Lineage: Eukaryota; Metazoa; Chordata; Mammalia; Rodentia; Sciuridae
Gene: Fut7
Gene name: fucosyltransferase 7
Exons: 3
Source: RefSeq, a predicted model, not a curated record